This 267-nucleotide ribosomal RNA is filed under the name Vibrio vulnificus. RNAcentral describes it as "partial 16S ribosomal RNA". It matches the Rfam family "Bacterial small subunit ribosomal RNA", at positions 1 to 262 of the family's 1533-position model. Lineage: Bacteria; Pseudomonadati; Pseudomonadota; Gammaproteobacteria; Vibrionales; Vibrionaceae. The record is from RNAcentral.
UUUAAUUGAAGAGUUUGAUCAUGGCUCAGAUUGAACGCUGGCGGCAGGCCUAACACAUGCAAGUCGAGCGGCAGCACAGAGAAACUUGUUUCUCAGGUGGCGAGCGGCGGACGGGUGAGUAAUGCCUGGGAAAUUGCCCUGAUGUGGGGGAUAACCAUUGGAAACGAUGGCUAAUACCGCAUGAUAGCUUCGGCUCAAAGAGGGGGACCUUCGGGCCUCUCGCGUCAGGAUAUGCCCAGGUGGGAUUAGCUAGUUGGUGAGGUAAGG